Molecule: ribosomal RNA, 1178 nt
Filed under: Mammaliicoccus vitulinus
Lineage: Bacteria; Bacillati; Bacillota; Bacilli; Caryophanales; Staphylococcaceae
Description: bacterial SSU rRNA
Rfam family: Bacterial small subunit ribosomal RNA
Source: RNAcentral
AAGGUUUAUUCGGCCCGGGAAAUUGCGGUCCCAGAUUCCUUACGGGAGGGCAGCCAGUAGGGAAUUCUUCCGCAAUGGGCGAAAACCCUGAAGGAGCAACGCCGCUUGAGUGAUGAAGGUUUUUAGGAUCGUAAAAAUUCUGUUGUUAGGGAAGAACAAAUUUGUUAGUAACUGAACAAGUCUUGACGGUACCUAACCAGAAAGCCACGGCUAAUUACGUGCCAGCAGCCGCGGUAAUAAGUAGGUGGCAAGCGUUAUCCGGAAUUAUUGGGCGUAAAGCGCGCGUAGGCGGUUUCUUAAGUCUGAUGUGAAAGUCCACGGCUCAACCGUGGAAGGUCAUUGGAAACUGGGGAACUUGAGUGCAGAAGAGGAGAGUGGAAUUCCAUGUGUAGCGGUGAAAUGCGCAGAGAUAUGGAGGAACACCAGUGGCGAAGGCGGCUCUCUGGUCUGUAACUGACGCUGAUGUGCGAAAGCGUGGGGAUCAAACAGGAUUAGAUACCCUGGUAGUCCACGCCGUAAACGAUGAGUGCUAAGUGUUAGGGGGUUUCCGCCCCUUAGUGCUGCAGCUAACGCAUUAAGCACUCCGCCUGGGGAGUACGACCGCAAGGUUGAAACUCAAAGGAAUUGACGGGGACCCGCACAAGCGGUGGAGCAUGUGGUUUAAUUCGAAGCAACGCGAAGAACCUUACCAAAUCUUGACAUCCUUUGAUCGCUCUAGAGAUAGAGUUUUCCCCUUCGGGGGACAAAGUGACAGGUGGUGCAUGGUUGUCGUCAGCUCGUGUCGUGAGAUGUUGGGUUAAGUCCCGCAACGAGCGCAACCCUUAAGCUUAGUUGCCAUCAUUAAGUUGGGCACUCUAGGUUGACUGCCGGUGACAAACCGGAGGAAGGUGGGGAUGACGUCAAAUCAUCAUGCCCCUUAUGAUUUGGGCUACACACGUGCUACAAUGGAUAAUACAAAGGGCAGCGAAACCGCGAGGUCAAGCAAAUCCCAUAAAAUUAUUCUCAGUUCGGAUUGUAGUCUGCAACUCGACUACAUGAAGCUGGAAUCGCUAGUAAUCGUAGAUCAGCAUGCUACGGUGAAUACGUUCCCGGGUCUUGUACACACCGCCCGUCACACCACGAGAGUUUGUAACACCCGAAGCCGGUGGAGUAACCUUUUAUUAGGAGCUAGCCGUCGA